Molecule: long non-coding RNA, 553 nt
Organism: Pyrus x bretschneideri (Chinese white pear)
Lineage: Eukaryota; Viridiplantae; Streptophyta; Magnoliopsida; Rosales; Rosaceae
Exons: 2
Source: RefSeq, a predicted model, not a curated record
AUAUGUGUGUGGGCCGCGUGCGUGUGUGUGUGUGUGUAUGUAUGUAUGUAUGUAUGUAUGUAUAUAUAGCUUACUUGCUUAGCUAGGGGAAUGAAGGAGCCAAACUUUACCUCUACUAAUGAAAAUGGUUCCCUUCCUUGUAUUGCUAUUGUUAUCAUCAAAAUUAGUGUUUGCCAAUAUUUCACAAGAUCAAAUACACAAAGAUGCAAGGAAGAUGGUUUUCAAUAUGUCGCCAAUGCAAAUGGAGGUGAUUCUGGCACGGAAACUUGGAAGAAACCCACCUCAUCAUGUGGGAGCACCACCAGGUGACAAACCGUCUGGAUCGUGAAAGUAGCUAUUGUGACAUAUAUCCCUGUUGUACUGGCUAGCAGUGUCACAUCAACAAGCUUAACGGAACGGUGUUUAGUUUGUUAAGUAGUUGGGCGAAUCUCUCCAAGAAGAUUAGUAUCUUUGUUUGUAGUAAAAUUUUCUACAUGUUUAUAAUAGCAUACUUUUAAAUAAGUGUUUAUUAAAAAUUAAAAAUAAAUAAAAAAUAAAUAAAGUGUUUCUUGUA